AAGAUGAAGCUAAGCUAAGUGCGCGACUUCCUGUCGCAACGGUUAGCUGACCCGCUUCCUGCGG
This 64-nucleotide small RNA is filed under the name uncultured Planococcus sp. Its description in RNAcentral is "Bacillaceae-1 RNA". It matches the Rfam family "Bacillaceae-1 RNA". The record is from RNAcentral. Lineage: Bacteria; Bacillati; Bacillota; Bacilli; Caryophanales; Caryophanaceae.